UUUAUUAUUUUAUAAAUAUUAUUUAAGUAGAAUCUAUUGUGCAGCAUGGGUUACUUGCUAGUAUACAUUAAAAUGGAGACUUCUCAAUGGAGAAGUCUCAGUUUGACACGUGGAGCUUCGGAUGCAAUGGGAGGGAGCAAUGUGGCAAAAAAAAAAAUUAUGGCACUUCGAAUUCGAAGCAAUGGAGAGGAAAUAAUAGGCCAUGCGGGGGAGGA
RNAcentral lists this long non-coding RNA (215 nucleotides) under Elaeis guineensis (African oil palm). RNAcentral's name for it is "long non-coding RNA (EGUI_LNC006261)". Lineage: Eukaryota; Viridiplantae; Streptophyta; Magnoliopsida; Arecales; Arecaceae. The record is from RNAcentral.